This 248-nucleotide ribosomal RNA is filed under the name uncultured Entrophospora. RNAcentral's name for it is "uncultured Claroideoglomus partial small subunit ribosomal RNA". The stretch from base 76 to 248 matches the Rfam family "Eukaryotic small subunit ribosomal RNA", at positions 714 to 886 of the family's 1831-position model. Lineage: Eukaryota; Fungi; Glomeromycota; Glomeromycetes; Entrophosporales; Entrophosporaceae. The record is from RNAcentral.
GGAUUGAUGCAUCGGUCGUGCCUUAAGGGGUAUGAACUGGUGUGGUCAAUUUCUUACCUUCUGGUGAAUUGUGAUGCCCUCCUUAAUUGGGUGUUUCAAUGAACUAGGACUUUUUACUUUGAAAAAAUUAGAGUGUUUAAAGCAGGCAUUAUUUGCUUGAAUACAUUAGCAUGGAAUAAUAAAAUAGGACAAUGAUUCUAUUUUGUUGGUUUCUAGGAUCACUGUAAUGAUUAAUAGGGAUAGUUGGG